RNAcentral lists this long non-coding RNA (931 nucleotides) under Falco tinnunculus (common kestrel). RNAcentral's name for it is "lncRNA (ENSFTIG00000005914.1)". Lineage: Eukaryota; Metazoa; Chordata; Aves; Falconiformes; Falconidae. The record is from RNAcentral.
GCAGCACGGGAGAGUGCAAUGAACCCUAUCGCAGCAACAGGAGGAAGAGGGAACAGGGGACGUAACUCAUCUGUACUUAUGGACUGGAAGUUACGGGAGGAAAGACGUGAAAAAGUAUGAUGUGAGAGGACGGGUGACGUGGAGCAGCAUUAAGUGGUGCUUGGAGAGAGGGAUCAUUUCAGUAUCAUUUCCACUUAAGAGUUUAGUAAUAGAGCGGGUGGCGGGCCUCUGGGACCACCUGGGCCUGGUGCUGUGGCCGUGCUAUGGUGACGGAGAGCCCCUUUUGGCAAAGCACAGUCGGAGGAGCACCCCUGGAGAACUUGUUCAGGUGCAUCAGUACCCCCAGCAGCCGCCAGGCCCGCCCCAGGCCCUGCUCCCGGCGGGCGGGCGGGCGGCUGUGAGGCUGCACAGUGGAGCUGCCCUCGGACCGCGCUGCCCCCGGACCUGCACCCCUGGGACAUUUUGGAACAUGUGAGGAGCUGCCAGAGGAAUCACUAAUAUUUUCAUUUCUGCUUCUUCAGCUCCACCUAUUUUUUUCUGUCCUGGAGUUUCAGCUGUAUUUAAUAAGGUCUGGAUGAAGAUGGAGACUGGAAGAGUCAAGAGAUGAAAUGGGGACAAGUGCUUGACCACUGGAGGCUGGUGGCACAGGAUGUGGGAAUGCACCAUGGAGAGAGCAGUGGCUUCCCUGCUCAGUUCCAACUGCAGAAGACAUUGUGAGGACAGACCAUCAAAAGUAAGUGUGACGCUCGCUGGUGCUGGACGCAGCCUGCUGUGGGACAGGCAAUAUCACGCAGCCAAGAUGGUGGCAUUUAAUUGGAAGGUGAGGAUGUUUCACAUUCAUAAAGCAGUGAAUUUCUGCUCUUUCAAGCAAAUGCAUGUAAGGUCUGGGUGGGGUGGGUCCUGUGUUUAUAAAGAUGGCUUUGUUGCCUAG